CCCAGUACUAGUAGACAGUUAUGCCAUUUGGGCUUAAGGUGACUCGUUCCCUAUUUCAAAAGGCCAUGAUUUGGAUUUUUGAACCCAUCCUACAUAGUGCCUUGAUCUAUAUUAAUGACAUCCUGCUAUUCUCAAAAAGCGUCUCAGCCCAUAAGAAACUUCUCCCCCAGUUCCAAAGUCUAGUCCAGGAGUAUGGAAUCAUGUUAUCUGAAAAGAAGUCACUUGGCCAAAACCAACAUUAAAUUUCUGGGAAUGCAGUUUGAAGAUGAAAAGUACCAUCCUGGAUCCCACAUUGCUCAGGAGUUAUUAAAAUUUUCAGAUAAGGAUUUAACUACCAAACAAAUGCUGAUACACUUCCAGAUACACUUCCCUCCCGUAAAAAAUGCAGAAAAAAACAAGCCUCUCCUUGGAGCACUGCACAAACGAUAGUUGUCCCAACACUGAAAAAAAUUACACAAAAUCCACCUCACUUAAAAAUUACUGGCCCAAGAAAAAGGAUCCUACAUACUGAUGCUAAUGAUGAAUAUUGGGGAGCUAUUCCUCUUGAAAAAUAUAAGGAAAACGACAUAUCUCUAGUUAUGCUAGCGGACAAUUCAAAGACCCCGAAAAGCUUUACCAUACAGUCUUCAAAGAAAUCCUGGCAAUAAAAAAUGGAAUUAAAAAAUUUGAAUUCCAUGUCAUAGGGCACUGCAUUUUGAUUAUCAUGAACAACUCAUCCUUUCCCAAGGUACUAGACUUUAAAAACAAGAGUCUUCCGAAACCAUAUCUUUUGAGAUUAAAAAAUUGGUUUUCCAACUACGAAUUUACUAUCCAGCAUAUAAAAGGAGACCUCAACCUGGUUCCAGAUCUCUUCACCAGACCACCUUCUAUCCAACUUCUAGCUUCUCUUUACUCAAUUCCUCUCAUUUUUAUGGGUAGCUCCUCCAAGCAAUUCAGCUCUAAAACUCCUCCAUUUUUAAUCCCUGCACUAAAAAGUUUUCCACCAGGAUGCAAUGCAUCAAUGACACUCAACCAAAUCAUUGAAUUUGCAAAAAAUAACCUAUUUCAUUUCGAAAACCUUCCAAUGUUCUCAAACAAAAGCAAGAGACACUCUAUGUUCCGACCAGAUGCUUCAUUCCUCACCGCCUAUUGUCUAGACCUCCAAGAAGAUUUACUCUUUGAAGAAAUUUGGUUUUUAUGUUGUAUGGUUACACUGUACACCAUCGCUUUUAAAGUUCCUAC
This 1221-nucleotide unclassified non-coding RNA is filed under the name Hevea brasiliensis (rubber tree). Lineage: Eukaryota; Viridiplantae; Streptophyta; Magnoliopsida; Malpighiales; Euphorbiaceae. The record is from RNAcentral.